Small nucleolar RNA from Pecten maximus, 76 nucleotides. RefSeq annotates it as small nucleolar RNA SNORD79. Lineage: Eukaryota; Metazoa; Mollusca; Bivalvia; Pectinida; Pectinidae. The record is from RefSeq and is a predicted model, not a curated record. The transcript has a single exon.
GGUGAUGUAUGAUGAUGAACACAAGAAAAUGGGAAUCUCUCUGAACUAAAAUGUUGAUUUCUUUUCUGACAUCACC